CGGUGAGGAACCUGCCUUUCAGAGGGGGACGAACAGUUGGAAACGACUGCUAAUACCGCAUAAUGCAUAGGUAUCGCAUGGUACAGAUGCCAAAGAUUUAUCGCUGAGAGAUGGCCUCGCGUCUGAUUAGCUAGUUGGUAGGGUAACGGCCUACCAAGGCGACGAUCAGUAGCCGGACUGAGAGGUUGGCCGGCCACAUUGGGACUGAGAUACGGCCCAGACUCCUACGGAAGGCAGCAG
This 240-nucleotide ribosomal RNA is filed under the name uncultured bacterium. Its description in RNAcentral is "partial 16S ribosomal RNA". It matches the Rfam family "Bacterial small subunit ribosomal RNA", at positions 116 to 354 of the family's 1533-position model. The record is from RNAcentral.